This 453-nucleotide ribosomal RNA is filed under the name uncultured Oomycota. Its description in RNAcentral is "LSU rRNA". It matches the Rfam family "Eukaryotic large subunit ribosomal RNA", at positions 327 to 630 of the family's 3401-position model. Lineage: Eukaryota; Oomycota. The record is from RNAcentral.
UGCGAGACCGAUAGCGAACAAGUACCGUGAGGGAAAGAUGAAAAGAACUUUGAAAAGAGAGUUAAAGAGUACCUGAAACUGCUGAAAGGGAACCGAAUCGUAUCCAGUGUCUAUAGUCCAUAGCAUAUUUCAUUGGCGAAUGAGUGCGUGCGGCGUUUUGGAAGUGGUUUCCGCUCCUGUCGUUGUUGUGCAUUUUUUUGCUGGUGCCCUGUGCUGUGGUGGGACGUCAGAGUCAGUUUGUAUGUUGCGGGAAAUGGUUAUCGGGGAGGUAGGUCAUUUCGGUGGCUGUUAUAUCCUGGUGACUAGUCGUCGUGGCUGAGACUGAGGUGCCUACAAUGUGCUUUCGAGUCUGCGGAUUUCUCGUGUGGAUGUUUGCUUGGAUAGCUUGCUAUGUUGGCGAAUAAGUCGUGCGAUUGAGAUUUGUAGUAACUUGUUGCUGUUCGGGACUUUGAA